This 4230-nucleotide long non-coding RNA is filed under the name Homo sapiens (human). Its description in RNAcentral is "non-protein coding lnc-PSMB9-6:10". Lineage: Eukaryota; Metazoa; Chordata; Mammalia; Primates; Hominidae. The record is from RNAcentral.
CUUGCCCCUCUCCAGCUUUUCUGGUCCAACCCUCUUCUGCGCCUAACACUGGCACCUCCUUUUCUUCCGGCUGAUGAAUAAUUGUCCGCAAACCAGCCUCUCUGGGGCACUGAGGGGCGGGAAGGUUAGAAGGAGCCAGGGCUAGAGUCCUGGAAGGUGGCAGUCAGGUCGCAGGGCCACAGCAGUCACUCUGCGACUCUCUCUUCCGGUGUUUCUCCAGCGCCAAGCGGGAGAAGACGGAGCCUGGGAGCUGGGACUGGAGGAGCGGGAAGCGCAGUAUCGGGACCACGGCUCUGGGACCAGGAAAAACGCAGACUCUCCAGAGUCAAUGUCUACUUCAGCCAGCUCAAGGGCGCGACAACCUGGCGCCGAGCAUCUCAGGCCGCCGCGGGGACCCCCCCUAAGGGACUCGGGAACACCUGCCUACCCUAGAAGAGGCGGAGAAUAACCCCGUAGGGAGUUAAGCGGCCUCUGCCUACAGCGUUCCUCCCGCCUCCACGGCGCCGAGCCCUGAUUGACGUUCAGCCAGGCCAAUCAUAGCCUGUGUCUGAGGCGCGCGGAGCUGGAGCGCCCAGGGCAUGUCCGCCGAUCCCAAGGAGGCAAUCUGUCAGGCGCCGCCCGGGCGGCAGUAUGCCUGAGGGGGUCCUCCGUGUUCGCGCCUCCCGCCGCCUGCACUGAAAGGUCUGUACCUGAGCCUGGAUACUUGAACAGAGGCAGACACUGCGGCUCAAAACCCCAAGGGUAGGUACCUAUUGUGCGGAGUCUCGGAACGCCUGCCUGGAAGAAGAGUUCCGGCGGCUCCCCGAACGCUUGGAGAAAGCGCUUGGAUGCAGUUGCAGGAAUAUCCUAGCUCUGAGACAAAAAUUGGGAACCUCAGCAUGAGUUUGUCACCUGAAUGAAAUAAAAAAAAUCACGUUGAAGGCUGGUGCAGUAACAUGUGCCUGUAGUCCCAGCUACUCUGGAGGCUGAGUCAGGAGGAUCACUUGAGACCAGAAGUUCAGGAAUUCAAGACUGGCUUGAGCAACAUAGCAAGACUUCAUUUCAAAACAAACAGAAAAAAGCCACCACCUUCAGUAUUUCUUGCCAAAGCAAAGGAGCCAUUUGUUCUUUACGAUGGUCAGGAAAGGAAGCAUCAAGGUCAUCAAAUGAAAAAUUUUCAGCAUUUCAGCCUCUCUGCUCAGGGAAAUAUCUGAAUCUAGAAUAUCACAACAUGAGCCAAAACCGCCCCAUUUCUCAUGCCACAUGUCACUCUUAACACAAGGUUACUCAACCUCGAGCAUGGUUGGCAUUUGGGGCUGAAUAAUUCUUUUUUGUAGGGGGCUGUCCUGGGCAUUGUAGGAUGCUCAUGAGCUACCUCAGUCUCUACCACCCACUAGAUGCCAGUAGCAUUGACCCCUGAUCUCUCUACCCAAGUUGUGACAACUAAAACCAUCUCUGGAUAAUGGAGGAACCUUAAAUGCAUAUUGCUAAGGAAAAGCCAAUCUGAAAGGAUUACAUAUUGUAUGAGUCCAACUAUAUGGUAAUCUGGAAAAGGCAAAACCAUGGAGACAGUGAAAAGGUAGUGGUUACCAGUGGUCCAUGGGAAGGGUUGGAUGAAUAGGUGGAGCACAGAGGAUUUUUAAGGCAGUGAAACUAUUCUGAAUGAUACUGUAAUGGUGGAUACAUGUCAUACCUUUGUCAAAACCAAUAAAAUAUAACAACCAAUAAAACUGCACAAAGAGUGAACCCUAAUGUAAACUAUGGACUUAAUAAUGUAUCAAUAUUGGCUCACCAAUUUUAACAAAUGUACCACACUAAUGCAAGAUGUUACUAAUAGUGGAAACUGGAGGGAAGAGGGCUUGAGGGGACAUACGGGAACUCUCUGUAAUUCCUGUUCAGUUUUUCUGUAACUGUUAAACUGUCCAAAAAAAGUCUGUUUUUAUAAAUGGAGGCAUGGUUUUAUAUGGACUAAAAUACUAUGAUUGCCUUUUUAUUUUACACAUGGUGAAAUUAGAGCAGGACAUAUUUUAAACUCAAAAUUCACAAAAUUAAUUUAUGAAAAUGUUUACCCAGAUCAAGAAUAUUAAAGAAACUUAGAUUAAUAUUGUUACCUUGAAUUUAUUUUACUGAGUAAUCCUCUAAGACUCCUCUACACAUUAUUAAUCUAGAAGGAUUUUUAAAGUCUUUAUGACAAUUAAUUAUUGGUCUACAGUCAAAUUGCGUAUCCCCAUUAACUAGAGUUAUAUUUUUCCAUUUUCUGAUCCAAAAACUUUAGGAACAGGAAAUGUUUAUUUUAGAAAACAAGAACACUUCUUAAGCAUUUGCUGUUAACAGUUAUUUUCACAUGUGCUUGUACUUAUUUUACACUUGUCAGAACAUAGUAUUUACCUUUGAACCAAGGUUUUAUAAUAAGCAAGCACUUUUUUUAUUUAGAAGUCACAUUUUCCAAGUAGAAAAAUCAUUAAAAAUUCAGUCCUCUGAAGGCUAAUUUCUUUAAAUCAUUUAACCUAAUUGUUUAAGGUAUAGAUUGGAAUUUUUCUCAGCACUCUCUUGAAAACAGGUGACAGUGGAACCCUGUUAGGUUCACAAAUCCUAGACUUUGAUUAUAUAGCCCAGGCUCAAAUUUUUCUCGAAUGUUACGAACAUUCAAAGCAUUAGGAGUCUUGGUUUCAUUUCUUAAUUUUUUUUCUUCUGGGUAUAUUUGAGACUCAUCUUGGAUUCAAAUAAAUUAAUAAUAGUCUCAUGAAACCGAUAAAAAUGGGAGCUCCAUUGAACAUGAGAGACAUUGAUUCGUAGUUUCUAACAUCCUCCAAAUGAGGAGCCCAUCCCUAAUUUAGAUGCUUCUUUCAAAGGAGGCUCCUUUCCUUCGUUAUCCAUAAUAUAGUCACACCAGUCCUGAAAAAACAUGGAACAGACUCCAGAUCUUUAUAUUUCAUACUCUAAAGUCGUACAAGCCAAUCUGCAUUUCCUCUAGUGGAAACUGUAUAGCUGGUCAUCUUUCCAGGACCCUUUUAUCAAGAAACAAUGCAGCUUCUACAUUUGUGCUGCUUCUACACCAAAACAGCUGGAAUGUAUAUAGUAUGGUUCUGGAUGCUCUUGUAUACCUCACUCUUCAUUUCUCACCUAACCCAUGUGCUAUGAUUUGAAUGUUUCUCCCCUGCAAAACUCAUGUUGAAAUGUAAUUGCCAUGAUAACAGUAUUAAUAGGUGGAAUAUUUAAGAGGUGAUUAGGGUGGGAUUGGUGAUGUUAUAAAAGGGUAAGUUCAGCCCCUUCUUGCUCUCUCUGUCACCCUUCCACCUUCCUCUGUGUGAUGAUGCAACAAAAAAGCCCUUCCCAGAUGCCAGCAUCUUGAUUUUGGACUUCUCAGCCUACAGAACUAUAAGCCAAUAAAUUUCUGUUAUUUGUUAUUAGUCUGUGAUAUUCUGUUACAGUAGCACAAAAUGGACUAUGACACCAUGUGUUUACACAGAAAGAAAAAAAUAUCAUACGGUAAUUGCUCCUAAAUAUGCAGAGAAUAUGUUCUGAUAUCCUUAGUGGAUGCCUGAAACUGCAGAUAGUACCAAACCUUAUAUAUACUAUGUUUUUUUUCCCAUACAUAUGCAUGUUAAAGUUUAUAAGUUAGGCAGAGUAAGAUAUGAACAAUAACUAAUAAUGAAAUAGAAACGUAACGAUGUGCUGUAAUAAAAGUUAUGUGACUGACGCCUCUUUUUCUUCCUCUUUCUUUCAAAAUAUCUUAAUAUUUUCAAGCCAUGGAUAACUGAAACUGCAGAAAGUGAAACUGUAGAUAAACUAUUAACUCUAUUUAAACAAUAAAAGAAUUAUAAUUAUAUUCUUGGGAAAAUUAACAAUUAUCCAAAGUCCCUUUGCAAAGGGAAAAAAAAUGCAUGUAUUGGAAAAAAUCUCAACCACAGGGUUCCCUAAGCUUUGCAAACAACAAAUAGCAUCCACCUAUCCAUCCUCAGAGAGCAACAGUUUUACUGUUAUUUAGAAAAAGCAACUAUUUCAGGCUGCAGGUUGUGCACAUCAGCACUUCCCAGCUCUCUACUAAUAUGGGAAAACUGACUAUCCCUGACUUCAGUUUUUGUGAAGCUAAAUGCCUGACUAGAGUUUAAACUGAGGCUAAUUGGAGAUCAUAAAAUUUUACAGCUUGCUAGAGGUGGACCACAAUUUUGAUUGGAAACUUUCCACCAACCAAUUCUAAAAGGUGUUAAUGGUGACUAUUUUCUAAAACAAAUCUGAAGAGUAACUAAU